RNAcentral lists this ribosomal RNA (446 nucleotides) under uncultured Rhodocyclaceae bacterium. Its description in RNAcentral is "bacterial SSU rRNA". It matches the Rfam family "Bacterial small subunit ribosomal RNA", at positions 936 to 1382 of the family's 1533-position model. Lineage: Bacteria; Pseudomonadati; Pseudomonadota; Betaproteobacteria; Rhodocyclales; Rhodocyclaceae. The record is from RNAcentral.
AGCAUGUGGUUUAAUUCGAAGCAACGCGAAGAACCUUUACCAGGCCUUGACAUGCAGAGAACUUUCCAGAGAUGGAUUGGUGCCUUCGGGAACUCUGACUACAGGUGCUGCAUGGCUGUCGUCAGCUCGUGUCGUGAGAUGUUGGGUUAAGUCCCGCAACGAGCGCAACCCUUGUCAUUAGUUGCCAUCAUUUGGUUGGGCACUCUAAUGAGACUGCCGGUGACAAACCGGAGGAAGUGGGGAUGACGUCAAGUCCUCAUGGCCCUUAUGGGUAGGGCUUCACACGUCAUACAAUGGUCGGUACAGAGGGUUGCCAACCCGCGAGGGGGAGCUAAUCCCACAAAGCCGAUCGUAGUCCGGAUCGCAGUCUGCAACUCGACUGCGUGAAGUCGGAAUCGCUAGUAAUCGUGGAUCAGCAUGUCACGGUGAAUACGUUCCCGGGUCUU